AUCGCUUCUCGGCCUUUUGGCUAAGAUCAAGUGUAAAAUACCUGUUUAAGAUCCUGCUUUCAAAUCUUUUACAUAUGUGCAGAAUUAAUAGAUUAUAUAGUAUUUCAAUUUUUAAUUUCUUGAGGAACUGCCACACUGUUUUCCAUAGUGGCUACACCAU
This is a small nuclear RNA of Heterocephalus glaber (naked mole-rat), 160 nucleotides long. Its record names the gene U2. It matches the Rfam family "U2 spliceosomal RNA". Rfam says of the family: U2 is a small nuclear RNA (snRNA) component of the spliceosome (involved in pre-mRNA splicing). Complementary binding between U2 snRNA (in an area lying towards the 5' end but 3' to hairpin I) and the branchpoint sequence (BPS) of the intron results the bulging out of an unpaired adenosine, on the BPS, which initiates a nucleophilic attack at the intronic 5' splice site, thus starting the first of two transesterification reactions that mediate splicing. The record is from Ensembl. Lineage: Eukaryota; Metazoa; Chordata; Mammalia; Rodentia; Bathyergidae.